GUUGUGGUUCAGUGGUAGAGUGCUCACCUAGUAUGCACGAGACACUGGGUUCGACCCUCAGCACCACA
RNAcentral lists this transfer RNA (68 nucleotides) under Marmota monax (woodchuck). RNAcentral describes it as "tRNA.Thr". The record is from RNAcentral. Lineage: Eukaryota; Metazoa; Chordata; Mammalia; Rodentia; Sciuridae.